AAACUGAGUAUUAAUUCAUCCUCAUAAAGCACAUGUCUCUGGAAUAGCCAACCAGCCACUAAUAUUCACUUCCCUUUAGCUAGUUUGUCUCUGUGUUAUUAAUACCAUGCAGCUCCAUGCUCUUCCACAUCCCCAUGACAGUCAAUCAUCUGGUCAAUUUGAUUUUUUUAAGCCUUAAUUGAACCCCUAAAAUGUGUUUACUCUGAAUGCAUUAAGGUUAUACUUAUCAAAUCGGAACUAUACUCCCUCCUUAAAUUAUCUUGAAAACAAAAUCAAUAGUUUAUUUAACCAGAGUCAAAAGAAAAAGAAAAGGGAAAAAAAUGCCCUGGGGAAUUUGUGUAAUAAGUUUUACUUAGAAAGAAACAAUGUGGAUAAACGGGGAAAGAAUUUCAGUGUGAGGCAAAGAAUAUGGGGUAGCUUGGAGGAAUAGACAGGCACCUAAUUUAAUAUUGUUCCUUUCUGUGCAGUUUCUUACAAAAUAGGUCACCAGCUUUUGUUGCUUUCUGAGCAAGCCAUAGGAAUAAACAACCGGCUGACAUUUUUUAAAUAUGACAGCAGCUGGAUUUAAUACAGGCAUUUAUAGCAUUUCUUUAACCAAAUAUUUGAGAUCAUUAAAAAACUGGGCUGACUAUUAAUGCCU
RNAcentral lists this long non-coding RNA (640 nucleotides) under Bos taurus (domestic cattle). Its description in RNAcentral is "long non-coding RNA NONBTAT005769". Lineage: Eukaryota; Metazoa; Chordata; Mammalia; Artiodactyla; Bovidae. The record is from RNAcentral.